ACUCCUACGGGAGGCAGCAGUGGGGAAUAUUGCACAAUGGGCGCAAGCCUGAUGCAGCCAUGCCGCGUGUGUGAAGAAGGCCUUCGGGUUGUAAAGCACUUUCAGUCGUGAGGAAGGUAGUGUAGUUAAUAGCUGCAUUAUUUGACGUUAGCGACAGAAGAAGCACCGGCUAACUCCGUGCCAGCAGCCGCGGUAAUACGGAGGGGUUAGCGUUGUUCGGAAUUACUGGGCGUAAAGCGCACGUAGGCGGACUAUUAAGUUAGAGGUGAAAUCCCAGGGCUCAACCCUGGAACUGCCUUUAAUACUGGUAGUCUUGAGUUCGAGAGAGGUGAGUGGAAUUCCGAGUGUAGAGGUGAAAUUCGUAGAUAUUCGGAGGAACACCAGUGGCGAAGGCGGCUCACUGGCUCGAUACUGACGCUGAGGUGCGAAAGUGUGGGGAGCAAACAGGAUUAGAUACCCUGGUAGACAUC
RNAcentral lists this ribosomal RNA (470 nucleotides) under uncultured bacterium. RNAcentral describes it as "bacterial SSU rRNA". It matches the Rfam family "Bacterial small subunit ribosomal RNA", at positions 335 to 798 of the family's 1533-position model. The record is from RNAcentral.